UUUAAGAGUGAAGAAAACAUGAACCACUUCAGGAGAGGUUGCUCUAUUAAAAUGCCUCCAAAUGAACAACGGCCCCAGUGCUGCACAUCUCUCUGGACUCAGACGGCACACAAGCUUUGCUGGCUGGCUCUCCCCAACAAGUGAGCUGAGCCUUCUCCCAGACAGACUUCGAAUGACUGGAGAGGACAAGAAAAGGGCCCCUCUGCUCGACUGAGGCCACGCAGAGGUUUCCCCUUCACACCGGAGCAGACGCUCAGAGAUGGAUGAGAGACAGCAGAUGGGGCGCCUGCCUGACACGAAGAGGACCAAGCAGGAAAUGCAACGCAAGAGUUCAACAAAAUCGCUGCUGUCAGCCAGCCAAAGAAAGCGACUAUUCUGUCAUCUUAUUGAACACGAAUCCCAGUCAACAUGUCGUUGAAGGCGAAGUUUGCAGGUUGAUGCAUUAUGUUUUCUCCGCUCUCACUAGUCUGUAUAUGAGAGACUCACAUUGUUGAGGUUUAGUGUUUUGAUGCUCUCACAGCAAGGCAGAAAAGCUGGGCGAAUUUGGCGCAGGUUGCCGAGAGGCUCAGGCGACUUCCAGGAAGUUGUUAAUUUGUCCAUCUGUAGGCUUGAAUUUAGGAUGCAUCAUGUCAUGGUGUCAGAUGACAGCACUGGCAUUGCUUUUCCUGUUGAGGAGGUGAGGGAAGAGAAAAGCAGCCGCCGAAAGGCUCGAGAACCCAAGACGCAUUGGCUUGAAAUUUGUUUAUUAUCCUUAAGACGCUGCAGUAUAUUUACACAGCACUCUGCUCAAGUAGCCAUGAAAGGCUUAUUCUUCUACAGUGCAAAGUUAUUUUAAUGAGAGGCCAAGACAUGUUUUGGAGUUUUCAUCAGAGUGAUGACCUUGGACUGUUGCUUGAACAGAGGCCUUGACUUUACAGCAAUCCCUCAUUCUGAGCAAGCAUGUGGCGACAGUAGAAAAUAACAGCCUUCUUUUAGCAGGAGGAAGCCUUCGGCAGAAAAAAAAAAGCUCUUUGCGAGCAGCCAUCUGCCGCGAGCACAACAGAGCAGAUGCAUCAGAAAUAUUUCAAAUUAGCACUUAUAAAGGAAUACCUUGUAUUUUUGUAAACAGCAUACAGAGUUAACCCAAUAAAUAGAUUUAUCGAGGAGAGAAAGGCAGCUAUAAACAGAUAAGUCUUGGUCCAGUCGUGCAAUCUGUUUGACAGUGAAUGACUUUGUUCAGGAGAAAGGUUAAAGUCGGAUCAAUGUGGCAAGAUAAAUACAUGAACUAAAAGCUAUUAGAACCUGUUGGACACUCAAGGACACUCUCGCUUUUUAUGCAAAACUACAUUUCAACAUACAGGGAAAGUGUUGAUUUUUUUACCGCAAGAUUCUCAUACUGGCUCAUGCCUGCUGCACCCAGUAACUUUAACCAUCAGUUUGAUGCACAGCACAGAUCUGUUGCGUUCAAAAGCAAAGUGUAGCACCUGGUAUCAUGUGACGCAUCGUUGAGGAUAUAGGUUUUGUUCGCCAACAGUGGUUCAUCUCAGGCGAAUGAGAAUGACAUUAUACUUCAUGCAUGUAAUGCAGGUAGGAGUAAAUAUAGUCUGUGCAGGCAGUGUACUGUUAAACUUUUCUUACUUUUUAAUUACUUUUCUCUGAGAGGUUAAUUAACAGUAAAUCACACUGUGUGCAGGUAGAUACAAAAGCACUAUGUUUACUUUCGUAGCUUUGUUUUUGUUGGUAAAUAUACUGUCAUUGUCAAAAGAAAUAAACUUUCUUAUGUUAUCCUAUG
Molecule: long non-coding RNA, 1771 nt
Organism: Poecilia reticulata (guppy)
Lineage: Eukaryota; Metazoa; Chordata; Actinopteri; Cyprinodontiformes; Poeciliidae
Source: RefSeq, a predicted model, not a curated record